UACGAAGGGGGCUAGCGUUGCUCGGAAUCACUGGGCGUAAAGGGGGCGUAGGCGGGUCUUUAAGUCAGAGGUGAAAUCCUGGAGCUCAACUCCAGAACUGCCUUUGAUACUGAGGAUCUUGAGUCCGGGAGAGGUGAGUGGAACUGCGAGUGUAGAGGUGAAAUUCGUAGAUAUUCGCAAGAACACCAGUGGCGAAGGCGGCUCACUGGCCCGGUACUGACGCUGAGGCACGAAAGCGUGGGGAGCAAACAGG
This 253-nucleotide ribosomal RNA is filed under the name uncultured bacterium. RNAcentral's name for it is "partial 16S ribosomal RNA". It matches the Rfam family "Bacterial small subunit ribosomal RNA", at positions 524 to 776 of the family's 1533-position model. The record is from RNAcentral.